AUGCUCUCCGCCGUGUUCUCCUCCGGCACCUCGAAGGUCUUGAGGCAGCGCGAGCCCAUGGAGAGGCAGCCCGGGGGCACCCGCGUCCAGGAAGUGGGCGCCCAGCGUCACGUAGGUGCGGUUCUCGUUCUCGCUCCUCCACAUGUCCGUGGAGAUGCUGCAACAGGUGGCCUCAGCCAGCUCCUGGAGGACCGCCUUGCGGACGGUGCAGUACUUCUCAGGGAUGGCCUUGGUGGAGAUGUACUUGCGGCUGAGGAGCUCCUAGCGGGCGUCGGCCAUCUUGAGCAGCACCUUGAAGGUGGGCUCGUCCACGAUGGAGGCCGGGUACAGCUGAAGAGCACAAGUCUGUCAGCUCCUACUGCAUUGGCUUACAGUAUACUAUUAGAAAUCCUCUGAAGUCUCCAGCCCCCACGGGCCGGCACGGUGGCUCAUGCCUGUAAUCCCAGCACUUUGGGAGGCUGAGGCGGGUGGGUCACGAACUCAAUAGAUCGAGACCAUUCUGGUCAACAAGGUGAAAUCCCGUCUCUACUGAAAAUACAAAAAAUUAGCUGGGCAUGGUGGCGCGUGCCUGUAAUCCCAGCUACUCAGGAGGCUGAGGCAGGAGAAUUGCCUGAACCCAGGAGGUGGAGAUUGUGGUGAGUCGAGAUCGCGCCGUUGCACUCCAGCCUGGGUUAAAAGAGCGAAACUCCAUCUCAAAAAAAAAAAAAAAAAGAAAUCCUCUGAAGUCUCCAGCCCCCACAUAAGAAGUGUUGCGCAUGACACCUGUUACAUACGGCCCACCUCCUUGCCUCGGUGACCUAAUAGGAGUGGACCCCUUUUCUGUACAUGACUCUCUACUACUGCACACGACCCUCUCUGCCCAAGUGACAUAAUGGGGUGGCCCCCUCACUUGGGACUCACAUGAUUAUGUAUGCCCUAUUACUAAGCCUAUAGAUGAUGACGUCACUUACGACCCUGCCCCCCCUGCUUGUACCUAAUAAAUACAGAUGCUUCUGGGCAUUUGGGGCGCUCGCUGAUCUCUGCUCACAGAUUGCAAUGCCCCCCGCCCCCGGAGUCCAGAUGUUCUUCACUAGUUCUUCAGUGUCCUGUUUCUUUACUUCUCUGUCUCCUGUACCUCAGCACAGCAUAAGGGACACCCCACGACCCUGUGGGGCCUUACAGCCCUACAUCAAGAGCCACCCACUGCUCGCCUGGGCGUGGCGUGGCCGGGCGAGAAUAGCUAAGAGUCCGUGCCUAUGGCGCCACAGUACCCUCAUUCCUUAGCCCGUGUGGGACUCCCGGGCGGGGCCCAGUCACGUACUGGUGGGCCUCGUGGACUGGUGGAGGGUGAGGGGGGCAGGGAGCCUCCUCGUGACUCAGGGCCUUUGGGCUUCAAGGCGCCGCAGCCUUGCCCGGGGUGGCCGGUGGGGCCUCCGAGCCGCACUACGGCCUCCGGGCGCCCACGAGCGUCUGUCCAGACGGGAGGUGACGACAGAAAGGAGCCCUGGGGCCCAGAACACUUCUUUCUCACCCUGCCGUCACACCCGAAGCCGCUAGCGCUGGAAGCUCACGCCCCACUAUGGGUCUCUUUCGCACCCGCUGCGGAGUGAGGAGGAAGCCGGGCGGGGCGGGACGGGGCGGGGCUGCUGACGCCAUAGACCCCGCGCUGUGUGGAGAGCCCCACGACGGCGGCGGCCUCGGCCCCUUUAAGGCGGAGGGAUCAAGCCCCUCGUGCGGCUUCCCAAGCCCGGGAAGGUCACGUGGCUUCACACCUUCGCUUGGCGCGGGAGUCCUGAGGCGAGGCUGGUGGAGUAGUGGGGCGCGAGGGCGGAAAACUGGCGGGGCUUCGCGUCCGCGAGACCCAAGGGGCUGUCGGCUUUGAGGUGGGCUCUGGGGUCGUGGGUGGGAGAGGGGUAGGCGUGCAGGCCGUGGAGGUGGCGCACACGGGGAGAGGUCGGAGCCCGAGUCGGGCUGUGCUGUGCAGACCCUGCGGCCUGGCGAGCGGGUGCAUGUGGUCUCGGCGUUCUGGUCAUUCUUCUCAGUGCCGGAGGAGGCCAGGUCUCCAGACUCAGGUCCGGCCUCAGGUUUGGUGGAGCAGCGGCUGGGGCGCUGGACUGGCCGCUUCCCUUGACGAACUGGUUGGGCGGGCCUGUGCCCGCCUGGAGUCACCCGGGAGUUGUGGGGACUCACCCACAAAGGGGCUCUCACCUUGGGGUGUCCCAGCCGGCGUCAUUCCCCGGGGCUGCUGCUUCUCUCGUGGGUUCCUGUGCGGUCGAGUCGACCGAGGCUUUGCUGCCUCAUUCCUAGGGGGCCCCGGGAGGCCAGAGGCCCCGUGAGCGGCCCCGCUGGCCCCGGGACCCGACCGAGAAAAGCCAGGCGGGCUCCUGGGCUUUCGGGCGCCUUCGUGGGCGCGCGCUUGAUUUCUCGGUGGCACUUUGCUCCCUGCAGGCUUGGCCCCUUGCACCGUGCUGUCAGCUAGGGUUCCUCCCGUGGGGAAGAGUCGGGAGCGGAAUCCGCCCUUAGAAGCCGGAUUGCCUCGGGCCAGGCUGGCCCGGGAGGAGGCGGCGUCCCUCCUCCCCCGCCCCGCGCCUGCUGCCCGGCCCUGACUGACGCCCUAUUUCUCUGGCAACUGCUUCCCUUGGUCUCCCUGGCUACCGCCCUGCCUCCCUGCACUGUCUCCUGGCACCUGAGUCAACCACUGGGCUGCGUGGUUGAUGGGGACGAGGGGAAAGUGGGUGGGGUUCCUAUUGUGGAAGGCACAGGUGCACCGCCCGCCUCUUGGCUGCCCCUCAGGUGACGGGGCUGUCCCUUGCCAGCGGGAAGAGUGUCUGCUGAGGACAGUUUGCACCCUGAGGCUCGUGUUCCCUUUCAGUCUAGGUACCCACGUGGGUUAAAAAAUAAAAAAUUCAAACAGAACCUAACCUUGGAAACCUCAAAUUGGUGAUUGUUUUCCUGAUUGUUUUUUUGCACAGUUAGAAAAACUUGUGGAGCUCAGGGGGAUGUUGGAAAACCCUGGGGACCGUGUUUUUGGGACUCAUCACGGAUUUUUUACUUGUCCCCGUUGAACUGGCUUGGAGCUGAGCUAUAUUCCCAGACUAAGUUGCUGUAGAGUUUGGCUUUGUAAAUUUUUUGUCAUGGCGAUUUGAACUCUGGGUGGCCUGGUAGCGCCUGCUCAGUUUAUAGAAAUAGGAUUUGGAAGUUGACUACCCUGUGUGUAAGUCAACCUUUGUAGUAUAAAAAUACUUUGCUUCCCCCCUUCGAACGGCUUGUCUUAUAAACAACUCCCUGGCCUAGGCUCCCGCGAGCGGGAGGGAGGUUGUGCCAGCCUGUGCAGAACUUUGGGGGGUUGGAGAGCUGAUGCCUGUGGUGAAUGAUGGUGGGAACACUGGCACUUUGGGUUAGGCCAUAGGCGUUCCAUGGGCUUUUCUUUCACUGUAGUACACAAACCAGUGCUGGUGAAGGGGAAAGUGGAGGAGCAUGAUAAAGUACUAGGACUCCAGGCUCAGCACCAAACUUAACUAGUGAGCCAAUGAUAAUAGCUGCCUUAAUAAGCAUUUUCACUGAGCACAACCAUUUAUCUUUAAUAUGGGUUGCAAACUCAAACCCUGCAGGGGCCUGAGAUAACAUAAAUGAGCAGAGGAGGAGGAGGAAGGAAAGGUAAUGGCUGCUGAACUACAGAGUAUAUGCCUCUCUGAAAGAAGUGGUCACUAGCUGAUUGUUGCCAAGAAAAAGCAUGGGCCCAGAGUUGAUGGAUCUUUUGACUUGGAGGGGAGCUGCCAUGUUGGUUUCAUGCUGUCUUUUCAUUUUGAUUAAUCUGACUUUUAAAUGUAUUAUUAAAAUUUUUUUAAACACUAUGGACCAAAUGUAACAUGUCUUUAUUGUUGGAUUCAACCUGAAGGCUAGUUUGGAAUCUGUCUUAAAACAUCCCUGUUGGAUUUCCCUGCUAUUUUGCAGAAAAAGAAACAGGCUUAGAAAUGAAGUCACAAGGCUGGCAGGACCUGUCAUUGGAGCGCUGGCUGCAUUCCUCCUCCUUUCUUCUUGCUGUCCUCCAUCCUCCAUUCUGUCCUCAGGGAGUCUUCCUCAGGCCUAAGAGUCUGAACCCCAGUCUGCUCUGGGUGUGUGGAUUUGUUUCAGCUACCCUGAUGUCUGCAUUUCCAAGUCCUGACUCUUUUGAGCCAUCCCAGUGGAUUUCUGCCACUGGCCCACAGGAGUAGAGGGCAGGCUGUGACUGUGUGACCAACAAGGUGUGUGAUGUGUGUGUGUGCACACAUGAGUGUGAGAGUGUAAGAAUGGCCCCCAGCCCCGGGCUAGAACAGAAGCAGCUGGGGAAGGAGCCUGGGGGCCGUAGGCAAUCUGAUUUUUUCCCUCCACCUCACCGCCCCUGCCCCUCCCUACCUGGUCUACACCGAUGUGCUAGGGGUGGCUGCAGGGGCAGAGAUGGGAGUGGCUGAAGCCUUCUCCACUCCCAAAGAUUUCUAAGGAAAAGCGUUCUACUGCACCUUUUGGCUUGGCCCUGUUGACCCAUGGCCCUCUUUCAAGGAGGGCCUGUUUGCCCCGUUUGAAUGUGCCCAGUGUGCCCUGUUUCCACCGGCCACAAUCUCUAUGGAAGAACAAUGGCAUCUGUUUUUGUUUCCAAAUGGCUGGAGGGUGGGGCUGUGGGUCCAGCGCCCAUAUAACCAAAACAAGGGGGGAUUGGGGCUUGCCCUAGGAUGUGCAGAUGUCCAACGUAGAUGGGUAGAGGCAAGCAGCAUGGUAUUGGGCAAGAGCACUGGACUGGGAGUCCAGAGAUGCUGCCUCACGCUGGGCCUUUAAGCAAAUCCCUUUCCCUUCCACAGCCUCAGCAUCUCUUCUAUCAAAUGAUGAUGUUCUGCCUUUCUCCCAGGGUGGUUAUGAAGAUCAAGGAAGACAGUGGCCAUAGGGAUGCUGUGUUAACAGUAGAUGUGGCCAUAUGAGCACUUUGCUAACUGCCGAUGUGAGUUCAGACUCUUCAGAGUUGGUGCCCAGGUCUAUGGUGAGGUGUGACAUAUGGGAUGUAAGGUUUGAUGCCUGCCCCGGCUCCAGUCUUGGUAACACACAUGAAAUGUUUCGCAAAUCAUGGCCCUGCCUUGGGGAAAAGAGCAGUCUGGGAGAGUUUCUUCAAGGCAGCCUGACUUCUCUGCGGUCUGGGGCAUGACUGAGAUAGGCUUACAUGGCAAAGAAUUGGAGGGUAUCUGGAUAAAGAGCUGCAGUGUGGGCAGAGGUGUAGUGUGGGCCGCAUGGAGGACAGCCACUGGCCAAAGCAGGGAACAGAG
Molecule: long non-coding RNA, 5270 nt
Organism: Callithrix jacchus (white-tufted-ear marmoset)
Lineage: Eukaryota; Metazoa; Chordata; Mammalia; Primates; Cebidae
Source: Ensembl